UAUAAAGCAAGACACGAGCAUCUGGCUUACAAGUCAGUCUCUGUCAGUCAGUUCUUUAAAAUCUGACUACCUCUAGAUGAACACAGUGGAUUCUGGGAUAAACAAAGUAGGUGUUUCGAAGAUCUCACAAGGACAGCUGUGAAAAUUAUCCAGCUGUACAUCCAGUCUGUCAAAACCAACCACCAAAGGCAUCUCAGUGUUUCCCAAGUGAACUAGAGCACAGACACCUACAUGAACGUAUCAGUUUUUGAGUGAAUUAUUUUAUCAAAGACUGAGAUGAGAAGAAUCCAGCUCUUUUACUUACUAUCUGUUGGGUUUCUCAUGGGGUAAGACUGGGUGUAAUUGUUCACACAGUGUAUCAACUGUGGACUAAUAGAGGCACAAUAAUUUUCCACUGCUUUGAUCUGAGAUGGACCAGGAGAAGAGUCUGUUCGAAAAAUGGCUUGACAGAAUUCUCGGCAGUUUGUGUGAUGACCCGCAUAACUGCAGCACACCGAGCCCACUGUGGAAAAAGAGAGGACACUGAAAUUCAGGACACUUCUUGUUAAUGUUAACAGCACCGCAGUGGUCAACAGUCCACCUUUCUGAACGGGAGAAAGCAAGCCACGCUGCAGAGGAUAAACACUUGAGUGGGGCCAGUCAAGGGCUCACUGAUCUAUGACAGUCACAGUUCAUGACUUAGACUCUCUAGACCCGUGAGGAGCAGUACAGUCUGGAGCAACGCAGAAGCACGUCUAAGUAUUUCUGGUUGUAAUGACAAUUUGGGAGCAUACACUGGCAUUUAAUGCAUGUCAGGGCUGCUAAUGUCCUCCAAAGCACCCGGAAGUGUCACAGAACCAAAGCUGCCUCCCAGAAUGUCCAGAAUGCCCAUGCUGAGAGCAUGGAACAGGCUCUUUCCACACUGCACUUGCAGAGAUUUAUAGACAGAGCAAAACAACACCAAACGAAAUCACAGUGCCUCACAUUUAUAAAACAGGCCCAGUAAAAACUAAGAGGCAGCAAGAUAAGUUAAAUAAAAUUAACAAAUGUAUACUCUGAAACUGAAAUCUCAAAAUUUCUACAGUUUGAAUAUUUACAAGAAUAUUCAUAUACUGAAGUAGUCUUCAUUUCACAAUGGAUACAAUUUGUCUCAAGUAUAAGUCAAAGCAAGUUUAUUUGAAGCCACAGACUGAGAACAGAAGGGAGAAAGAGCUGAAGAAUCCAGUCUUCCCCACAUGGCAAACAAUGUCAUGCAUGCAAGUCUCGCCUGCCACUUGUUUAUAAAGCUUUAUUGAAGCGCAGUCACACCCAUUUGCUUAUAUAUCUUACAUGGCUAUGUCAUGCUAUCCAUGCGAUGAUGGCAAAGUUGAGCAGACAAAGGCCAUAUGGUCUGCAAGCCUAAAGUGGACAAUCAACUGGCCCUUUGCAGAGAGUGUGCCAACUGCUGAAGAAAAAGAAGUGCAAAGCUGUCUUCACUGAUGACACCUGCAGGGUACAGAAUGUUCCCCAAGCAACUAUCAUUUCUCUUAAUGUUCAAUGAUAGAACUUUCACACUUAGGUUUUCCUGAAUAUGUUGAAUGAAUACUUGAUAUUUUACACAGAAGCACUAUUAAUGUUAACAAAUACUACUUCUACAUCUGUACUCA
Long non-coding RNA from Peromyscus eremicus (cactus mouse), 1625 nucleotides. RefSeq lists it as uncharacterized. NCBI's taxonomy places the organism in Eukaryota, Metazoa, Chordata, Mammalia, Rodentia, Cricetidae. The transcript is spliced from 3 exons. The record is from RefSeq and is a predicted model, not a curated record.